UUCCCUGGAACAGGACAUAAAAGGAAAGCUGGAGAGAUGGAGUUAACACCUGGCCUGGCAUAUGCCCAGGACCAGCUACUGUCUUCUGUUAUUUGCCAUUUCUCCAAAUCCACAAACCUUUUAAACCAAGAAUAUCCAUUCCUUGUAACACAGUUUAUACAACAAGGUGCCAUGCUUUGGACACAAAGAUUUUCUGUGUGGUUUAGACCUUGGUUAACUGCAUAGAAACUGUGAAGCAUACAACUGAGAGGACAGCACAGGCUUUGGCUGCCCAUGCCUGUGUGGCAUUUGGGGCACCUAAGGAUAUCUGGGGACAUUCCAACCACACUGGCAGUUAUGACACAGGACACGUGGAAGACUUGUGACCUUAUAGAGCAGCAGCUGGAGGUCAGGAGGGGCAACACUUAGAUGCAUCUGUUUAGCCAACCGAAUGGAACCCUGUUCAUCCUCAUUUAUUAUAUGGUGCCUGUAUGAUUGCAUACACAUGGCUUAUCAUAACUUAGUCUAAGAUAUCAUCUUAAUGACUACAGAACACACUGUUAUACUCUCUCCAGAUUUAAAAGUAUAUCGACAUAUAUGUUUGUAUAGAAGUAGUAUAUGUGCAGAGUCCACAUUUAUGGCACACUGUGGGAGCUCGAUGACUGCAGUUGAUAGUAACACAUGAAUCAGUUAGAAGCUAGUUUCAAUGUCAUACACAAUGUUAUCACAUACCAAUCAAACAUUCUGGGCUUUGUAGAGAAGUGCUUGAGUAGUCCAAGGUGUGAUGCAUUGAAACAGUCUGCCAGGAACAAAAUUACCACUGAGAUAGACUCUGUCCAGUUCUAAAACAGAACUUAAAAUGUUAUAGAUGGCCACCCACUAGAUGGUUGUAUGCAGCUGCAGGAGGCAGGGCUCCAUCUCUUCAGGCCUUUCCUGUACACUUCCUGCUUCUGUUUGGAGUUGUUUUCAGUGACUCCUUCUUGCUAAUUUAGAGGGCUGCUGACUGAUGCUAACAGUAUCACUAUAAUAGUGGCACUGAGUGACAGUUUAUGGGCAUGGUGGUGAUGGGCUGGCGGUUGGACUGGGUGACCUUAGAGGUCUUUUCCAACCUUAGUGAUUCUAUGAUAUUGUCAAUAAAGAAUAGUAGUGUGGGAUGGUUAUGCUCAAACAGUAGCAUUCAGUUUCAGCUAAUUAAAUCAAUUACUUAAUAAAAGACAAAAAUGUAAAACUGUGUCUCAGACCAAACAUUGCUGUGGGAUGAUCAAAUAGCUUGAGGCUAUUUUCUAAUGCUGUAUUCACGUUUCAGUUUUAUACAUCUUUAAAACCUGUUGCUAGGCUGCAGUAACCUUUGUUAUUUCCGUAUCUCUCAGCCAAUCCAUUUCACUAGCUUCUCUUACUACUUUCCUAGGAAAUUAUUUUAGCAUUUGCAUGAAGGAGUAGCUUUAAAGGCAUUCCAUUUUCAGACAACAGGAAAUUGAAGGAACAGCUCGUCACAUUCUAGCAGUUUGGUGUGACAAAAUCAAUGUUUCCUCUCUCUAGUAGUUCUGUUUGCCUCCUAAUACGAGCUGCUUUGGACAGCUCAUCCUGGAUCUGCAAAGCUGGAAAACAAAGUGAGCCAUGCUUUGAUCUCCACCCCCUCAACCACCCAAAAGCAUGGAUUUCUUUAUAAAAUAUUUAUUUCUGUGGACCACUGCUAUCUAAGUUUUAAAAUGAACAUCAGCCUGGUCUUCCAAAAGACGCUCUACAUUAUCUACAAGAAUGGCCUUGGUGUGGAAAUCCCUGAGGAAAAAGGUAUCUGUAUGAAAUGGAAGCUUGACUGCGUGCAUGGCCCUUUCUCGUUUUAAAAUACAUGAAUCUAGACUUCUUGUUUUGUAAGUAGAUUCCCCAGUAAGAGAAGCAUUUGUGUCACAGGAGAAUCUCCUGUGUAACUUAGGUAUGUCAAACUGCUUCCCUCUUUUUCUGCUCAGAGAACGAAGACUCUCAUUGUAGCACUGUCUGUUUUCUAGCAGCAAAGUACAGAGCAUCCCUUCUGGAAAUCAGUGGAGUUCCACCGAUAGACUGAGAUGUUUCGUCAUCUGUAUGCACUCAUGGCAUCUUACUGCAGGGAGGAAAGAGUGAGAAUGAUAGCAUAUUUCAGUGAUGCUCAUGCUAUUCUAUCUCCUUUUUAUAAAAAUUAUGCAUCUCUUGAGAAAGCCAAAUAUCUGAAAGGAUGGAAAUGAACAUCUAAGAGGUUCAGCUUUUGUGCUGUUCAACAGCUGUUCACCUGAUUUAUAUGAUACACCCUGGCUUAGCAGGCUAAAUUUGUUCGUAUGCAAAUAUCACCACUACCUUGAUACAUGUUAACUAUAUACUAAGAACUUCAGAAGCAAUGUAUUCCAUCAAGAAAAAUCAAAGAGAGAAAAAAAAAAGCCAUCCUGUUGUGGAUGCCCCAUCCCCGGAGGCAUUCAAGGCCAGGCUGGAUGUGGCUCUGGGCAGCCUGGUCUGGUGGUUGGCGACCCUGCACAUAGCAGGGGGUUGAAAUUAGAUGAUCAUUGUGGUCCUUUUCAACCCGGGCCAUUCUAUGGUUCUAUGAUUCUACGAAAAAGGCAGCGCUGAAACAACACAAACAUUGUAGCAUCCCAACAGUGUGCUGAGAGAAAUGGGUCUGGAGCCAGAUGGGCUCCAUACUGAGCCACCACUUCUGACAAAGGUGUCAAGGAGUUGAGCUGCAGUGCCACAUCAGGGAGCUGUCUGAAUCUGAACUGCUCCAAAUAGUAAGAAAGAGCUCAGAGCAUCAAGGCUCAAUGCCUAUUUCUGCCUUCAAGGACCAAUAAACCCUUAGGUUUUGGUUGAUUUCAUGGCAAAAGAAGUAAGAACUGCAGUAAAAUUGAUCAGAUAUUCAUAUUCUGCAUCUAAAACAUCUACGCUGAAAUAAAUACCAUUUACAUUGAAAUAAAUUAAUAAUUAAAUUAAAUAAUCACAGAUUGUGGUUUGUUACAUUACAGACUUUACUGAUGACUCCCAGCUCCAGAAGGUCUCUAAAUACAUACUUAAGCCCAUCCUUACUCUAUUUAUUUUUAAUAUACAUGGUACCUUAUGCAUGUUCCUGAAUAGGAGCAUUUUUCCAACAGAGGUGAAAGGAAAAAAAAAAAAAAGGAAGGAAAAGGUAAAUAACGUAACUUACAUGAUCAGACAGUGCAAGUACUAAGUCCAAGCGGAUGGGGACUUCUGGUUUGGAAAUGUGCAAGUAAUUAUAGCCUCUGGGAAGAACACCUCCUGCCAUAAAUGAAAAGAUGAGGUUUACUCAGUUGUAAACAAAACCAAAGUAUUUCUCACCCUCCAUCUCCUAUCUGUAUAUUUUAACUAAGUGGCAAAAGAGGAGAAAUUAUCUGGUUUCGUGGCUUCACGUUCUGUAGUACUGUCACACAUAUUGGUGCAGCAGCCACACCUUGAGAAGUUCUGAUCAUGACUGCAAUAUAAAUGAAAGCAUAGCUUUGUGUAUUAUUAGAAAAAAAACCUUCAGCAUAAGUUUUUUGUUCUUUUUUUUCCCUCCUGAACUCCUAGAUGAGACUAUGGAGCUAAAGACAGAUGAAGAAUGGACCCAACAAAUUAAGACCCUAAGAACUGCCAAUCAACAGUUGCUAUUGGCUCAAAUCCCAAAAGGUCCAGCGCGGCUGUAGGGCCGAUUCCUGCACAGCCUGCUUCCCGUGGAGGCUGCUCUGGGCCUCCCAUCCUCCUCAGAGCUCGUCCUUCCAGGUGGCUGGGAGCCUCGCAAGGCAGCUGAGCUGGAUUUGCAGAACAGAGAGACCCUGGUGUCAGAAGGGACUGCACACUCCUCAUCUUUGAGGCUAUGAAGGAUAAGCAAGGGGCACAAGAGAGCAAGAGAAAAUGGGAGUCUUGAAGAAAUGGCACAGGCCACGUGGGAAAGGUGGUGGAGAAGAGGUAUGGGUUUGUGAAUGGAUAUUAAAGUUACAAGAACCAGAUUCACAUCUCCAUGGAAGAAUAAAAAUAGAGGGAUUUUAGGGAAGGAAGGGACAAAAUGAAGUGCUCCAUAUGAGGGCAAAGAAAAGGAAUGUCACUGCAGACAUGGUGACCAAAGCCAGGUGACAGCCAGUGGAUGAAAGUCUUCUGCAAGAUCUUUACCUCCUUCAGGAAGGGCUUAGCUAUCUCCACGUUGAAAAGAAAAGGACUGGGAAAAAAAGCAAACCUACAGUGUGUGGCUAUCCAGCUCAGAUGAGCUGGCUGGGAGCAGCACGUGGUGCUUCCUUCUCAGAUCUACAGCCCUUGCUGCACAGAGGAGCAGCCAGUGCAGCAAGGAUGCCCUGCAAGGGCCAUAGGGCUUCCCAUGGACACACAUUUUGAAAUGACUCUACCAGAAGCUCGCUCACACAGAUGAGCCCAGUGAUGAAAACCAGCACUAGCUUCCCCAUUAGGAAAGGUCCCAUAUCUCACAGGAGCACCAUAUGUGUGAGUGUGUGUGUGACUUACCUAGAUAUGCUAUCAAUACUGUAGAUGAACAAAAAUGCAAUCAGCAAUGCAGAGGGAGAAAAAUCUGUUUAAAACGUACUUUAAUAGAUACGUAGUAGGCCUCUGUCCUAACAUUCUUGGCUGCUAGUAUGACUUGAUGAAAUCUUAAACCUAUGCACAUAACUAUAGACAGGAGUUACUGUACGCAUUUAAAUAAUAAAAGGAUUGAUGUAGAAUAAAAGGAAUGAUGUAGAAAAUGAAUUAAGAGCAUUUGUCACUCAACAGCAAGCAACUAUUGGUGAGUCGGCUGACUAAAACGCAUUUAAAUCCAAAUCAGUCGGGGAAUUAACAGUAGUAUUAUUUGGAGUUUUGCACAAAACAAUCCUUCAGACUAACAACUGAACGUUAAUUCUUCUGGAGACAGUGAGAAAAUAGAUAAACCGGCAAGGGACUAUCAGGAUUUGACGGCCUUUGUCUUAAAAAGCAGACCGAAGGAAAUGCAAUGAAAGCAUAUACUUACUGAGCACUGCAAUUGGAACGGUUUUGUAUUAGUAGAGAAAGCAGCGCAUGUGAUGAGGUCUGGGUCGUCGCCUUUGCUCCACUCUGCCAGGAUACUGUCACAAUAAACAGCCACGCCAGCCUCUGACAGUGCCUCCUGAACAGCACUUUCGAUUUCGGUGUUGUUAAGGCAAGUAACGUUUGAGCUGAGUGGAGGCUGCACGAGAUGGAUGCGAGAACCAUCGAUUCCCAGAGAUAAGAAGGUUUCUAUCGUGGUGUAAAUGUCAAUUGUAUUCCCAUAGACGAUGACGUUCCCUAAGGGGAAAAAAAAGGGGGGGAAAUUUCUAAGAUGUACAAUGAAAACCUUAUUAGUGUAACUCAGAUGAUAAUAACAUGAAAUUGCUCUCUUUGACCCUCUUAUUUCUCUGAUGCUAUGAAGCAAACAAUGUUACCUAGCAACAGUAGCUAAGAUAAUUUAGUGAAGAAUCUGUACAAAACAUCCCACAAAGUAGACAAGUACUUAACACAGAAGUAUGACAUUCAUUCUGACCCUGUAAUUUGAAAUUAUACUGAUUGAAAAUCCUCUGGGGCCAAAAAAUAAAAGAAAAAGAAAAAAAAAAGAAAAAAGCCACCACAUUUUAUUUUGUCCUCCUCUUCCUCCUCAAUUUUGCUUAUAUUCAGAGCACUCACUGGGCAGGCAGAGGAGCAGGAGCAAAUUAAAUACACUGUACAGAAAAAAAAGGUAGAGGAACUGGGAAAGAGCAAGUUGGAGGAGACAAGAUGCUGUGCAGCGCAGGAGAUUGCUGGCACUGUUGCUUCCUUUUGCAAGAGCUCAGUCUGCAGACAAGGGACCUGGCAUACACUGGAGCACCCGUGUGCUUUAUCUAAGGAUGCUUAAUAUAAAACACGUAACUAUUCCUCUGAGCAGGGCCUGAAAACUGCUCCUUUCCUCCCUGCUCCCUCUGUCCCUUGCUCUGAAGAGAAAGCAUCUUUCUGCCCUCUGAUUCACUCUGCCUUCCAGUAAUCCAUGCGAAAUACCACAGCUCUUGCAGGAUGGACUGAGAAUUCCUUCCCCGGUGGGAAUGAGAAGUGCUUACCAAAAGCCCAGCCUAGCAAAGGGUUACUCUGACUAAAGUAUGUGAGCCUGGCCAGCACAGAGAACAUCACCAUUUGGCAGAGCCGCUCUCUUCGGAGAGAAGUUUGGUGAUUGCAUUACAUGUUGGCAUUUCUGCAUAGACGAGAUCAAGACUCAAGCCCAGCAUUUCUCAAGGAAAAUUAAAAUUCUGUUUUAUAUGGUAAUAUUAAAUACAAUUACAUUACAUUAAGGAAAGCAAUGUUCCUUUGCUGACCUCUUGUAAAUCAACAAUUUGCAGUUUCUGCUUAUGGCAAUAUGAGGGGCUUUUUAGAUUACAGCACUGGUAGUCUAGGAACUACCGAUAUUCAUUAUGGACUGAAAUUAUGUUCGCUGGACAGAUAGCGAUUCCUCAGGAUGCUUUUAUUAUUUAACUACAUGAAAAUGUAUCUAUCUGUGAGUAAACAUAAUCAUCUUCCACGGAAAAAAGCAGCCAUAAAUAAAGAUCGUUAGUGUGGUUUUAGCAUUUAUCUCUCGAAUGUCAGAGUUGUGCUGCAGAGCAGGCUCAUUCAUUUUCCACAAGUGCAAGCCCAACAUUUCGGUGAUCCCAGGGUGACCCAAAUCUUUUUAGUUUGCAGAAGCUAAAGAAGAAAACGUUACGUUAGCUAAAGCAUCGGCAGCUCUGGCUGUUGAUUCGAACGCUGGAAUUUUAAUGUGAUAGUAUUCCUACAAACAUGCUUUUAAUAAGGCAGUAAACUAUGUUUAGGUAAAGAGGAAAAAUAAUUGCUCCAUUUUGGGCCAUUAAAGCAGUUUUGUUUCUUUCUUUACUCCCAUCCUACUUUUUAUUUUCAUGGAAAGUGCAGCGCUAAUAGGAGAUGAAUUUCAAUUAGUUACAAUUACAGUUCUAAUAGGUUACACGCAUGAGGCAGCUGGGUUUCGUCAGAGAAGCCACAGCCCCAGGACUAGGGCUGGUGCUCACCCUGCUGCAGCCCCAGGCAGCAGGAGCCACCAGGCACCUCUCUGCUCCCAUGUGGAGGAGCCCACGGUGGAAGGAAGGUGGAAGUGCCGUGGAGACUCCAAACUGCUUUCGGUAGAAGUAACAGAUGGGUGAGAGGAGGACGCAGCAAGAGAAGGGUAUAUGGAAAGAAGCCGCAGCUAUCCAGCAGCCCUCCAGAUGCUGGGUGGGUUUAGCGCAUUGCUAAAGGCAGGAGAGUGCCUGGUUAAGAUAUCCACCUUCACAUCACACCAAAAGCCAGCAGCAGUGCUGAAAUUAUUCAUACUAAUUUAGUAUUAGUAAAGGUGCCUUGGUCCCAAAAGAGAUGAAGUGCCAGACGUCCCUUUGGCCUGAACAGCGAUCGUCCCACUUUCCUUGCAUCCCAGAUGUUGGUUCCUUCUAUUUCUGGCAACACACGGUUUUAUAUGAAGGAUGAGUGGUAACAAAUAGGGAAAACUGACCACCUCAUCUGUUUCUACAAACGCAGCUGUGCCUGUCAGCUGGACACCACGGAAAGCCACACAGACUGCUCUGUUCACAUGCUUGGGGCCGGGAAGCUGUCUGAAGAAAACGUGAGCUGAGACAUCACGAUGUUUACUGUCUCCUGUCCUGAUCACAGCAAGACUGGGAAGGUGAUAAAGAAACCUCUAGUAUCUUAAGAACUUCUUUACAAGUCUGCCAAGCAGGACAUGAACGUAACAGACCACAGCAAUCAGCUAUCCAUUUCCAUUAGCCUACUCUCUGCUGAGGAAGCCAGUUCAGCUCCGUUUUCAGGAAACUCCUGGUUUUGUUUUCAAGAACUUUCCUGCUCUGAACUCUUCCCUGACUCCAGGCUGGCACCAAGAAGACAUGGUGGGUGAAUUCAUUCACUGUUUGAUCUCCUUUCUGCUGUAGAAAGGAUUUAACUUGGAAUUCUGGAUGUCUGUAGGUAUUUCCUACAGCAUGCACAUUCGGUGAGUAUAUGACCAGUGUGCACAGAUACAAUGCACAAAAAUGUCACCUUAAGGGUUAAAAAGAUAAUACAGAGAGACUGCAGUUCUAUGUGAAAAGCUGUAAACUGACGUCAUGGAACACAAAGAUGACAGAAAAGGAAAAAAAAAAAGCCCAUCUCCUAAUUUAGACCUGUUUUCUUUGUGUUAUGCCUCAAAUCUAAAUGUUCAUCUAUAAGAGAAAAACACACUCACUAAUUAAAUUAUUAUUUAAUUGUCUAAUUAAUGACUCCAGCCAGCUUUGCAUUUGGGACUCAUUUUGUUUUAUAUAAUAAUUACAGAUGAUUAAUCUAUCUCAAGCUUUUUUUUUUUUUCCUAGAUAAAUAUGCUGAGUAUCAAAAAUGACAACAAAUUGUAAAUUAAUCUGGAAAACAAAGCACAGCAGAUGAAAGACUUUGUUCUAAUUAAUUGAGCAUCAAUUAUACCAUGGAGUCAAGGAAACAAUGAGCCUGAAGAAUAUUUCUGCAAGUGUGUGUGUGUUUACCAAAGCCCUUACCUUCUGAGUUGAUAAAAUUUUCCUUCAGCCAUUCCAUUGCCUUUAAGCAGUCCUGAUCAUCAUUGAGAGUAAAAUGAUUGGAAGGGAUUUUCCCUGUGUAUCUCUGUGGCCAUUUACUGAUAUCAUCUCUAUUAGUUGUGAGUUCGCUGGUAUGUGAUCCAGUGGGGGACAGGACCUGGAACAAAUGGGUGAAUGAACAGAUAUGUAUGACAUAUAUCUUCAACUACUAUUAAGAUUUUUUUUUUGUUUUUUUAAUCACCUCUGUGUAAUAAAAAAGAAACUACAUGAUAAAAAUAAUUCCUUUAUUUUAUUAUUAUUAUUUUUUUUUUUGGUAGAGCUUGAAGGUAAGAAUAGAUGCUAUUUUCUUCUUGAAGGCAGAUAGAAGCUAAGUCUUCCCUCGCUUCCCUUAUCUCUUCCUCUACUGUAGUUAUUUCCUGCAACUUACGUUACAAUUCAGGGUUGCAUCUGAACAUCUUUUUUUCUAGGAGCACUUAAACAAUCACAAUUACACUUACAGUACAAAAACUGGAAGCAGCUAUCUAGUACAGGGAGGUCUGAUUGGACAGGAAGACCGAGCACUUGAUUCCACUCUGCAUAGCUUCACAUUACACACACUACUCAGAGACCUGUGCUGCUGCUGUAAGCUAGGGGAAUGGCAACAUUGCUUCAGUUGCCAUCAAGGCAAAAACAAAGAACCUCAGCUGGAAAAUUGGUCCUUUUCUCCUCUGUCCUCCCACAUACUGUGAGACUCCACUGAGUAUCAUAGGGCAACCUGACCUCACCUGAAACUUUACCACGUGCUACAGUAAUACAUAGCACCAUGUACAUGCCUAGGCAUGCUCAUCAUGUGAAUCAAGUAAUUAAUUUGAAAAUAAAUUUCUUCCAUUGCCAAAAUUAGGUCAAAUGGUGUUGCACCAGCUGGAGUUAAGUCUCAGUGGCUGGGGCCACAUGUCAAUUGGAUCAACUCUUCAGCAGGUUUGCUGGUCACAGUGGCAAAAAUACUGGCAGCUUUGCUUAACAUCUGAUCCUCAGGUGAUCCAUUGCUGGUAGAAAAUGUUGUAAAACCCCCCUCUCCUCUGCUCCAGGCUCUAGAGCUGCACGAAGCAGCACAACCUGCUGUUUGCAGGCUGCACACAUAUCAGUUAUACAAUUGUUAAGGAGUAUUCUACUCCUUUGCUAAUUGCAGAAACCCCAUUUGCUGUUAAAAAAAAAAAGAAGAAGACCAAGAUAUUAUUUUUUCACUCUGUACCAUCUCACCUGAUAGCUCAGUCCUGUGCAGAGAACAAGGUAGUCAUACGGUACUCUCCUCUCCUUGGAAACAACUACAUAUUUGGCAGAGCGAUUUAUGCCAGUCAUUUUACCAACCACAACGUUAACCCAGGAACAAAGUGACAUCUGUGCAUAAUCUUCAUCAUUAAAACAGUGGCUGUGAAGAAAGAAUAUCUGUAAGUGACAUUUCAGCAGCUGACAGCAGGCAUUAAUUAGACAUCUGGUGAGUUAGCCAAAGUCCCCUAGUGGUUCAAGUCUGUUCUCUUGCUGUGAGUUUACUGCAGCCUAUAGUAAAAGAUUAGUCAUUAUGAAAUACUCAGUUACAAAUUGACAACUUUUUGCUAAAACCAAAUAAUCCCUCCCAGUGCUGGGCCAUAUAACCACAUAAUUUAAAAAUGAAGCCAGAAAGAAAAAGCUUUCCUCGGCUUGCUUUUUAUUUGCAGGUUGAUGCAUGGAGGAGACUUCUGCACCUGCAAAGAAAAUGUCUUAACAAUCUAAUUUUUUUUUGUCUGAUACAAGAUUCCUUUUUACUAUUUCAUGCGACUGAAUUCCUCUGCAAAAUUAAGUGAAUAUUAACAGAAGCAGAGGAGAAAUUAUCAUAUUGGCUAUCCAAAGUAAACAAAAUUAGUGGGCAUAGGAGAGAAAGAGAGAGAGAAGUAGUGCAGGCGUGAAAAAUAGGAAUCUUCACUAAGAGAGCUCCAGAAAGAGAAACACCACCACCGAUGUAUUUUGCUACUGGUACAAGGAUAUAGAUUCUAACACACUAGAACUGACCGCUACACAUUAAUUGCUGUUAAUGAGCUCCCAAAACUGUCCUAGAGGAUGACAACAAUAACAAGUAGGGGGAAAAAAAAAAGUCGUUGUUGUGGCCUGAAGAAUUUUAGAACUGAAUGUUCGGGCUUUCUGAGGUGCUCUGCAUCCUCUGUACUCAUAAAUACCAGAGGGAAAUAAAGAACGGAAGACACCCACUGUCAAUUCUAAACUGUAAUCAUGCAGAAAUCUAUAAAUAAAAUGGACAUCAAGGAGAGAUUAGGGUUUUCAAAAGCACCUUUAUAAUUGAGGUGCACAGCUCCCGGGAGACUGACACUCCAAAAUCACAGGGAUGCUUUCAAAAACCAUACCCUGCAGAGUUCCAUUUUCACUCUUAAUCUGCUUUCAGAUUUUAACAGCUAAUUCUGGCGAGGCAGCCAUGAACAGCGACCUUCCAUCAGGGUGAAUAUUUUGUUAUUACAAGUCUCUUCUUACAGUAUACUUAGGACAAAGUGCCCAUGCUUUUGUGUGAGUAUAUAAUCCCUUCAUUUCCUGGACCUGUACUUAAAAACACCCCUUUCUACAACAGAAAAAUUAAUUCCCCAACUAUUUAUCAAAAAAUUCCUUGAUAGGGCAAAAUGCAGAAUAUGGUAAGACGGUUUUAAACAGGUCAACGUCACACUCUUUUCAGGUCUUUGUAGACAUUUCUGGUUUAAGGUUCAGCAAGUAGGCAAUUAGUUGUUUUGCCAUUUAAAGAGCUGGCUGUUCAGGGCAUUACUGAAGUUGCCACUUUAUUAAUACUUUGAGACACCUCCCUUGUAAUAGUAAUAUUGAACUCAUUUACAGGCCGUAUGGACACAGUGGAUUAUUCUGAGACUAUGCAUGUGUUUCUAGACAAAAUUUAGGACCAGUUCACAGAAAAUUACAAAGUGUCAUGUUGAAGUUAUUGAAGUUUUUAUAUAUUAAAUCAAACCUGUUAAUUAAAAAUCUUCUAUGCUUGGAUCCUGGUAGGUCUUUUCCUGGAAGGCCGUGAGUUGAAAUCAAGGUCAGGUUGUUGAAUUUCAGGUGUGGAC
Molecule: long non-coding RNA, 11566 nt
Organism: Gallus gallus (chicken)
Lineage: Eukaryota; Metazoa; Chordata; Aves; Galliformes; Phasianidae
Exons: 2
Source: RefSeq, a predicted model, not a curated record